CCUACGGGUGGCAGCAGUGAGGAAUAUUGGUCAAUGGACGAGAGUCUGAACCAGCCAAGUAGCGUGAAGGAUGACUGCCCUAUGGGUUGUAAACUUCUUUUAUAUGGGAAUAAAAUGUUCCACGUGUGGGAUUUUGUAUGUACCAUAUGAAUAAGGAUCGGCUAACUCCGUGCCAGCAGCCGCGGUAAUACGGAGGAUCCGAGCGUUAUCCGGAUUUAUUGGGUUUAAAGGGAGCGUAGGUGGAUUGUUAAGUCAGUUGUGAAAGUUUGCAGCUCAACCGUAAAAGUGCAGUUGAAACUGGCAGUCUUGAGUACAGUAGAGGUGGGCGGAAUUCGUGGUGUAGCGGUGAAAUGCUUAGAUAUCACGAAGAACUCCGAUUGCGAAGGCAGUUCACUGGACUGCAACUGACACUGAGGCUCGAAAGUGUGGGUAUCAAACAGGAUUAGAUACCCCAGUAGUC
RNAcentral lists this ribosomal RNA (460 nucleotides) under uncultured bacterium. RNAcentral describes it as "partial 16S ribosomal RNA". It matches the Rfam family "Bacterial small subunit ribosomal RNA", at positions 338 to 795 of the family's 1533-position model. The record is from RNAcentral.